This 301-nucleotide ribosomal RNA is filed under the name uncultured bacterium. RNAcentral's name for it is "partial 16S ribosomal RNA". It matches the Rfam family "Bacterial small subunit ribosomal RNA", at positions 509 to 807 of the family's 1533-position model. The record is from RNAcentral.
CAGUAGCCGCGGUAAUACGGAGGGGGCUAGCGUUGUUCGGAAUUACUGGGCGUAAAGCGCACGUAGGCGGCUUUGUAAGUUAGAGGUGAAAGCCCGGAGCUCAACUCCGGAAUUGCCUUUAAGACUGCAGAGCUAGCAGGUGAGAGAGGUGAGUGGAAUUCCGAGUGUAGAGGUGAAAUUCGUAGAUAUUCGGAAGAACACCAGUGGCGAAGGCGGCUCACUGGACGACUGUUGACGCUGAGGUACGAAAGCGUGGGGAGCAAACAGGAUUAGAUACCCCAGUAGUCCCUGUCUCUUAUAC